Molecule: unclassified non-coding RNA, 296 nt
Organism: Macaca nemestrina (pig-tailed macaque)
Lineage: Eukaryota; Metazoa; Chordata; Mammalia; Primates; Cercopithecidae
Gene: 7SK
Rfam family: 7SK RNA
About the family: 7SK was discovered as an abundant small nuclear RNA in the mid-70s but a possible function has only recently been suggested.
Source: Ensembl
GGAUGUGAGGGCAGUUUGGCUGCAACAUCUGUCAGCCUAUUGUUUGCUAGGGUUGAUUUGGCACAUCUGGCUGGCUAGGCGGGUGUCCACUUCCUCCUUCACCAGUCCAUGUGCGUCCCUGCCGAAGCUAUGUGCUCAGUCAAAGAGCAUGACCAUUCCUGAUAGAGGAGGGUCAGUCUUUGGUCAAGAGUAUACAAAUAGCUGCAUUCCCCUGCAGCUACUCCAAACAAGCUCUGGUUAGUUGUAUGCCUUGAAUAUUAAUAAGAUCCGGAGGUCAGGUACAACUUUGUCUUCUG